RNAcentral lists this ribosomal RNA (492 nucleotides) under uncultured bacterium. RNAcentral's name for it is "partial 16S ribosomal RNA". It matches the Rfam family "Bacterial small subunit ribosomal RNA", at positions 29 to 507 of the family's 1533-position model. The record is from RNAcentral.
AGUGAACGCUGGCGGUAGGCCUAACACAUGCAAGUCGAACGGCAGCACAGUAAGAGCUUGCCCUUACGGGUGGCGAGUGGCGGAUGGGUGAGGAAUACAUCGGAAUCUACUUUUUCGUGGGGGAUAACGUAGGGAAACUUACGCUAAUACCGCAUACGACCUACGGGUGAAAGCAGGGGAUCUUCGGACCUUGCGCGAUUGAAUGAGCCGAUGUCGGAUUAGCUAGUUGGCGGGGUAAAGGCCCACCAAGGCGACGAUCCGUAGCUGGUCUGAGAGGAUGAUCAGCCACACUGGAACUGAGACACGGUCCAGACUCCUACGGGAGGCAGCAGUGGGGAAUAUUGGACAAUGGGCGCAAGCCUGAUCCAGCCAUACCGCGUGGGUGAAGAAGGCCUUCGGGUUGUAAAGCCCUUUUGUUGGGAAAGAAAAGCAGCAGGUUAAUACCCCGCUGUUCUGACGGUACCCAUAGAAUAAGCACCGGCUAACUUCGUG